RNAcentral lists this ribosomal RNA (491 nucleotides) under uncultured bacterium. RNAcentral describes it as "partial 16S ribosomal RNA". It matches the Rfam family "Bacterial small subunit ribosomal RNA", at positions 29 to 506 of the family's 1533-position model. The record is from RNAcentral.
AGUGAACGCUGGCGGUAGGCCUAACACAUGCAAGUCGAACGGCAGCACAGUAAGAGCUUGCCCUUACGGGUGGCGAGUGGCGGACGGGUGAGGAAUGCAUCGGAAUCUACUUUUUCGUGGGGGAUAACGUAGGGAAACUUACGCUAAUACCGCAUACGACCUACGGGUGAAAGCAGGGGAUCUUCGGACCUUGCGCGAUUGAAUGAGCCGAUGUCGGAUUAGCUAGUUGGCGGGGUAAAGGCCCACCAAGGCGACGAUCCGUAGCUGGUCUGAGAGGAUGAUCAGCCACACUGGAACUGAGACACGGUCCAGACUCCUACGGGAGGCAGCAGUGGGGAAUAUUGGACAAUGGGCGCAAGCCUGAUCCAGCCAUACCGCGUGGGUGAAGAAGGCCUUCGGGUUGUAAAGCCCUUUUGUUGGGAAAGAAAAGCAGCAGGUUAAUACCCCGCUGUUCUGACGGUACCCAAAGAAUAAGCACCGGCUAACUUCGU